This 432-nucleotide ribosomal RNA is filed under the name uncultured bacterium. RNAcentral's name for it is "partial 16S ribosomal RNA". It matches the Rfam family "Bacterial small subunit ribosomal RNA", at positions 29 to 506 of the family's 1533-position model. The record is from RNAcentral.
AACGAACGCUGGCGGCAUGCCUAACACAUGCAAGUCGAACGAGACCUUCGGGUCUAGUGGCGCACGGGUGCGUAACGCGUGGGAACCUGCCCUUAGGUUCGGAAUAACUCCCCGAAAGGGGUGCUAAUACCGGAUAAUGUCUUCGGACCAAAGAUUUAUCGCCUUUGGAUGGGCCCGCGUUGGAUUAGCUAGUUGGUAGGGUAAAAGCCUACCAAGGCGACGAUCCAUAGCUGGUCUGAGAGGAUGAUCAGCCACACUGGGACUGAGACACGGCCCAGACUCCUACGGGAGGCAGCAGUGGGGGAUAUUGGACAAUGGGCGAAAGCCUGAUCCAGCAAUGCCGCGUGAGUGAUGAAGGCCUUAGGGUUGUAAAGCUCUUUUACCCGGGAUGAUAAUGACAGUACCGGGAGAAUAAGCUCCGGCUAACUCCGU